GUAUUUCCCAUUUUUAUUGUGAUUCAUAUGACAAAAAAUAAAAUCCACCGAUUACCAUCCAUUUAAAGUAAAUUCAAGUAAAUAGACAAAUGUUCACUUGACAGUCAUGGCAUAACACAGAGAGCGGAUGUUAAAGUGUAUAGUGGACCACUUAUGGAAAGUGCUAACAAUCAAAACAUAGCUUGACAGCAUACACGUGGAUAUAAUGAAUACACCAAAAUGUAAAAUAAAGUCUCAAAUUGUCAGAUUUAGUCCACAGUUAUGGAAAAUAAAAUGCUGCUGCAUACUGCAGAAUAACAUGCCAUAAGUAUGAAUAAUACACUUAAUAUUUUACAGUAAAAUAUUUCUUUACAUAUCUAAAUACGUUUGAGUAAAGUCAGGGCAGUAGAGUUCACCCUCUCACAUACUGAAAUAAAUAAACAAACACUAAUAACUACUUACAGGAACUUACGCAUAAACAACACAAAUGCCAACCAGGGCUUCACAUUCAAAUAAAUAACUUCAAACACACAUUUGUCUCAGGUUAAGAACAGUUACAUUCAGAAACGAGGUCUAGAGGUUAGAGAAAAAAAGGAAACAAGAUGUGGUGGUGUUAUAACUCAGAUUUAAAACUGAAAAUGUCCCUUCCUGUGUGGAAUCACUGUGGAUUUCACACGCUUAUUAGAGCUGAUAUCGCUUUCAUCCAGGCAUGUAGUUGUAAUGACCAUUUCGUGAAAGAUUAGGUUUUGCUUCGCGUAAUGGCUUUUUUUUUUAUCCAAAGUUUAAAUUAGAAACAGUUAGAGUAACAAAAGCCUGACUGGAUUAAAGGAUUCCAGCUUAAUUAUCACCGAUAUAGAGUUGUGGUUUCUGGGAUCACAGUCUCAUCUACCUUAAAUAUCAUAAGCCUUAGGUCCCACCCUACUCCCUUACUCCCAACAAAACAUAAUCCAUGCAUGUGAUUAAUAUUAAUCAGGUCAAAUUUAACCCAUUAAUUGAUGGUCACAAGUUGAAAGUAUGAGUUAAAGUGGAACAUGUCAGUCGUUUGUAGGUAUUAAAAAGAUGAAGAAUAACAGAUCUUCACUAUUGCACUAAAACUAUAACUCAUUACUUGGCAUUAAGCCUUUUUUGAAAGGUUUUUAAGCUUCUUUAAACAAAUAAUUCUAAUUUGUUAAAUUUUUAGUAUUCUGGAAUAUUGGUAAAAAAAAAUGAUUCCAUUUUUAUAAAAGUAGGAUUUAUAAUAAGCCUAAAGCUGAGUAAGCAGGAAUGAAUUGAAACAGCUUUCAAUAAAGAGACUCAAAAGUGAUUUUUCUGAGUGAAAAUUUUAAAUGGAGAAAUAAAAUAACCCUAAUACAGCAGGUCUGUGUUCUUGAGUCUUGAUGAUGGACUUGAUUUUGUGUCACGGCUCCUUUUUGGGUAAUAAUCAAGAUGUAUCAUGUCGUUUUACAUCUUAAUGUUAUUAUUUUUUAAUGUAUAUUUGGUAACGUCAUUAACCAAAUGGGAGGAAGUAAAAUAAAAAGUUACUAUUAGUCCUAAAAUAUUGAAAUGUCGCUAAUUAAAAGAGAGAAAAGUGGCACCAAAUUAAUUUUGAAUGUAGAUUUAGAUGUGCAGAAGAAAGAAAAAAAAAUCUAGUCAUUACUUACAUUAAAUAUCUAUAAAGAUGCUGCUCUUAAAAUCAAGGACAGUAAGUCCAGACCAAUAAAUAAAGAAAAACCAAUCAAUUGCAUUACGAACAUUCAAUUCUGUUGGGGAACACGGAAUACAUACCUAUAAGUCUGACAAAAAACUCCCCCAAAAUGUACUUGUGCUUUCUUUAAAACUAAAUUUGUGACUGGGCUGAAAUUGAAAGUAAUAAAUACAACGACAUAACAAGACAGAAGCAGUUCUAACCAUAACAAUCAAGUCGCUGUCACUAAUUAGACAGUAACACAAAAACAUUGAUGACGACACCAAAAGGAAAACGAAAAGUGCAAAACAUUGUUUGAAGAAGACCGGGAUGCUCUCCAAAGGAUCUUAGCACUACAACCAUCAUUGCACCAAUAAAAUAAUGUAGGAAUUUGCAGGAAAUACUCAAUUAGGUCCAACAGAGGAAAUGUCCAUAUUUGAACAAUCUCUGAAGUAAUGACUGUCUGACUAAAUUUGUAACUAUGUUUUGGGCUCCACCAGUUUUGCAUUUAACAAUGUAAAUAUUCAGAAAGCUUACUGUUGCACAAAAAAGGUUAACAAACAGUUCUGGUGAUCGCAUUGUAUUCACACUAUUAAAAAGCAAUACCCCAUGUUUAAAUUACAUUUUAAAUAUAUAUAUAGUAAUGUAUAUAUAUUCAUAUAUAAACAUUUUUAACUUUUUAAGCUGCUCAGUUUGGCUGACAAGGUGAGAUAUGGUUGAUAUUUGUGCACAAUGAUGUGAGCAAUAAGAUACUCUGUAAAACAAAGCAGAUCAUCCUCAGAUAUACAGCCACAAAAUCAUCAAAUGUUGGAGGCAGUGUUGCAACAUUUUAAACCGACACAAGACAACUUUACCAAAACAGUGAGAAGUUGCUCCACAUUUGCAUUUGCAGAAUAUAAUAGUGUGUGCCUACACUGCCUUAAAACGCUCCUCAUAUAUCGACUAUUUAGGGCAAAUACGGUAGUGUCCGAUAAACUGCUUCCAUUUUUACGACAUUUAAAUAGAAUAGAAGCCUCCGAUUCUUUAUCCUCACAUUUGCUGCGUCUUUCUGUGAGCUUUGCUCAUCUGCACUGCCCCAAAAUGUGCUCUUACAGUACUGUGAAACUGGAACAGUAGGGAAAGAACCAAACAAGCCAGCUUGUCAGCCUCCUUCACAAUGCCCUCAACCAAAUGAGCCCAUACCUGAGGAAGCAACAAUCUCCUACAUCUCUUCGUCCAUUUUAACAUUUACUAGCAAGUGUGGAUUUUACUUCUUUGUUUUAAACAUACUGUACAAAAGAUUUAUUCAAACAAUUAUGCUAGUGCACAAGGCGUGUAGUCACUUGUGGAGAUUUAAUAGUCCUUGAAAAGGGAAAAUAAAUACUCCAAAUAGUUUGUGUUUUACUAUUUCAAUAAAUCCAAUGGCAAUUUAGCAACCAUCAAAGCCAGAAUUAUUCUCUGUAUGUGACACAGGAAUCUUUUUUAUCCUCUCUUAUUUAUUUGAAAUAUGAGGGACAGUUUGCCAUUUCAUGUCCCAGCGGACUUCAAUAAAAACAGCUGCCCCAAGAGGAGCUGAGCUACCAGCCCACGACCAUCACAGUCCUCGUGGAUGACUUGGAUGACAGCGGGUGGGCUCGCCAAUCUCCUCCCAAGCAAAAGGGGCUCAUUACCUGUCACCUAACCCAGUAACAGAGCCUGGACUGAAUCCUGUCCUUCACUUGCUCAUUUAACACAGGGUAGGAUUGGAUUCCUUCAAGACUUUGACAGGAGGGAAUCUCAGAACCCGACAAUGCACGAGACCAUCACUGAAAACACCUUGUGAAAAGAGAAAUUCUCCAAGUUAAGAAGUAGUCAAUGCAAGUCUCUCUGUGUCUAGAACUCAUUUGUGGGUCUUCCAGUUCCUGAGGAGGUAAAGCUUCCAGGCUGAAGGGGUCAGAGAAGAGGUGGGAAGGUGGACAGAUAGGAGCUCCUCUCUGAAAGAGUUGGAGGAGGCCUGUAGGAACCUUCCAGCCCCCACCCUGCCCUCUGUCACCCAUGCCCUCAGACCUGCAGCUGCAGACAGGUACCCUGAAGAGGAAAUAGGAUCUAUUUUCAUAUUUCUGUUUUUCAAUAUUUAGUUAAAAAAAAAAAAAAAAGAGUUUAAAGAAAGACACAACACAACACUUGUUAAUAACACAACCACAAUGAAUUGUUGCUACACCGCAAAGUGAUCUUCUGUUAAAAAUGUGAAAAAUGGCUGCCGUUUCAAUAUUAGACUGUAAGGGGUUUUAAAACAACAGACUUUGAAGUAAACUGCAAAAAUGACCACAAGCACAAAUACAAAUCUUUUUCUGCGUUCCAGUUAGCAUAUUAUUGUGCAUCACCUGCACAUUUGUCACAUGGUUUUGCUUCUUCAGGGCUACUUUUUUUAAUCUGUUUUAAAUUGAAAGUCGCAAUUGAGGGUGCUGAUUAAACACGUCUUCUACAGCUGACCG
Molecule: long non-coding RNA, 4095 nt
Organism: Astatotilapia calliptera (eastern happy)
Lineage: Eukaryota; Metazoa; Chordata; Actinopteri; Cichliformes; Cichlidae
Source: Ensembl